RNAcentral lists this unclassified non-coding RNA (343 nucleotides) under soil metagenome. Its description in RNAcentral is "partial contains 5.8S ribosomal RNA, internal transcribed spacer 2, and large subunit ribosomal RNA". The stretch from base 1 to 120 matches the Rfam family "5.8S ribosomal RNA", at positions 35 to 154 of the family's 154-position model. The record is from RNAcentral.
GAUGAAGAACGCAGCGAAAUGCGAUAAGUAAUGUGAAUUGCAGAAUUCAGUGAAUCAUCGAAUCAUUGAACGCACAUUGCGCCCGCCAGCAUUCUGGCGGGCAUGCCUGUUCGAGCGUCAUUUCAACCCUCGAGCCCCCCCGGGGGCCUCGGUGUUGGGGGACGGCACACCAGCCGCCCCCGAAAUGCAGUGGCGACCCCGCCGCAGCCUCCCCUGCGUAGUAGCACACACCUCGCACCGGAGCGCGGAGGCGGUCACGCCGUAAAACGCCCAACUUUCUUAGAGUUGACCUCGGAUCAGGUAGGAAUACCCGCUGAACUUAAGCAUAUCAAUAAGCGGAGGA